This 1251-nucleotide long non-coding RNA is filed under the name Homo sapiens (human). Its description in RNAcentral is "non-protein coding lnc-USP6NL-8:2". The record is from RNAcentral. Lineage: Eukaryota; Metazoa; Chordata; Mammalia; Primates; Hominidae.
AACACCCUCCAAUACUUUUUAUGAAGCUAAUAUUACCAUGAUAUCAAAACCAAACAAACAUAUUGACAGAAAAAAACUGCAAAUCAAUAUCCCUCAGGAAAACAGACACGAAAAUCCUUACUUCUCCCAUAUGGAUUUUAGAGAAGGAGAAUGAGGCAGAGCUGGAAAAAUGCCCAAGUGUGUGCUUGUCCUCCCCUUUCUCCUGUCUCCAACUCUCUCCCAUCUCCCUGUGGUCCUUCUCUAAUUUGUAAAGAUCUUAAUGAGACCAUUAAUUGUUUUCCAUUAUUUUGCAUGUCAAUGUCCUUUUUAAUGAAAUGAGUUAAUCAAAUUUUUGCUGCAAAUCCCUACUUCCUCAUUUUCCGUGGAUUUAAUGCACACACUUGCUUGGCUUGUUACAUUGUGUUUUUCAGCAAUGUGACUCUGUGUUAGCUCCACGAUGGGGAAGAGGCUAGAGGAAGGCGAAGCUUGACUGUACCUGCAAGAUAACACUUGCUGAAAAGGCACCAUGUCAUGAUCUCAGAAGGCAUGCGUGAUGGACUCUAUUUACCUGGUCCCAUUUCUCUAACCAGUCUCCUUACACUAUGCUUUCCACCUCAUCUCUUACUGUCCUUUUAACCACUGGCAGAGUUCUGCCUCCAGGAGCCAAGCUCAAAUUGCUGUCUCUUAAUCAAACCCAAGAGACUUGGCCAACUUUCACCAUUGUUAGCCAUUCGGCAGGUUUUGGAGAAGGGAGGAGAAAACAGGGUCCAGCGCCUUUAUUGUGUUUUCAUGGGAAGGAAGGGGCCAGGCAGGUGAAGCUGUUAGGGCAUUUGAUGCUUUUCUUUUUUAAAACUUGCAUGCCAACAAGUAUAUUUAGUGCAGAGUUUAACUUUCCAUAAAAAUCUUUGGGUUAAAGAUAUUGGAGAGUAGGAAAAGGGGUGACUGAACCUACUUGGGAUGACACAGAGGGGCAGAGCUGUAUGACUAAAGUUAAAUCAGAAAGUAGAUAUAAAAUGAUAAAUAAUCUUUCCUUGUAAACACAAAUGGCAUUACACUGAAACACGUUGAAAUUAUAUGGUAUUUGCCCAGAAUGUUCUUGAGUUUGAGGAAAUUUACCAGAAUAUCUGUCAAUUACUCCUAACUAAGCCAUGCUAACCAACGCUUUGCCUUGGAAUGUGUAUUCAAGAGAACAAAAACCCAGCAGUCUCUGUGGUGGAAAGCAGCAGUCUCCAGUUAACUUUAGCAGAACCAGGUGCCCAAGUGACUCAGAAG